ACCAAGUGUUGGCUGUCCAGAUGAUUGAAUCUCAUUUGUUAGCAAGGGCCGGGCAAGACCGGUGCCAGCCGCCGCGGUAACACCGGCGGCCCGAGUGGUAACCGUUUUUAUUGGGUCUAAAGGGUCCGUAGCCGGUCUGAUCAGUCCUUUGGGAAAUCUGGCAGCUUAACUGUCAGGCUUCUAAGGGAUACUGUCAGGCUUGGGACCGGGAGAGGUAAGGGGUACUCCAAGGGUAGGAGUGAAAUCUUGUAAUCCUUGGGGGACCAUCUGUGGCGAAGGCGCCUUACCAGAACGGGUCCGACGGUGAGGGACGAAAGCUAGGGGAGCAAACCGGAUUAGAUACCCGGGUAGUCCUAGCUGUAAACGAUGCUCGCUAGGUGUCAGGCACGGUGCGUCCGUGUUUGGUGCCGUAGGGAAGCCGAGAAGCGAGCCACCUGGGAAGUACGGUCGCAAGGCUGAAACUUAAAGGAAUUGGCGGGGGAGCACUACAACGGGUGGAGCCUGCGGUUUAAUUGGAUUCAACGCCGGAAAACUCACCGGGUGCGACAGCAACAUGUAGGUCAGGCUGAAGGUCUUACCUGAAUCGCUG
Molecule: ribosomal RNA, 589 nt
Filed under: uncultured Methanosarcinales archaeon
Lineage: Archaea; Methanobacteriati; Methanobacteriota; Methanomicrobia; Methanosarcinales
Description: bacterial SSU rRNA
Rfam family: Archaeal small subunit ribosomal RNA
Source: RNAcentral